AUGCCAGCUUUCUCCGGGGGACGGGGCCUGUAUCCGCGGGGGCAGCACCACCAGGGGCCCGGAAAGCGCGGGGGUCGGCCCGGACGAGGGCAGAGCAGGCUGCGGGUGCCGGGCCCCGCCGCCGCCACAAAGGCGCACCCGGCUCAACGCUGGCCGGUCUUGGGUUUUAAGACAAAGCGGAGUAAUUUCGUCAGUCGGGCCGCGUGCAGGGAGCACACAAAGGGCCUCGGCUCCGGCGGCCCGGGGCGGCCGUGGACGGCAGCGCGGGCCAGGGCGGGCUCUGCGGGAACAGGGGUUUGGGUUGCGAGGAGCCCCCCCCGCCGCCGCCGCCGCCGCCGCUUUUCCGCCCAGUCAGUACAAAACACACACAUACACACACUGCGUCAACGCAGUUUUUGGCCACGGAUCCCGCCGGGUAAACAGAGGGGGGUGGGGGCGGAAUAUGGCGGCCAGACCCGGGAGCACCGCGGCCCGGCGCCGCCUCUGCGCGCGGUGCACGGCGCCCCAGCCUGGCUGUGCGUCCGCGUGUGGCCGCCGGAGCGGCGGGCGUGCUUCCCCAGGCCUCCGAGGCUUGGCACGGGGGCCCCAGAGGCGCCCCGCGGGCCGCGGGGGUCUCGGGAGGCGCCCGGGCUGCGCCCACCUCGGCCUGGGAUCCUCCUCCCCCCAACAUGGCUCCCGGACGCUGUUUACCCAGCGCCUGCGAGGGCACCGGGCCGCGCGGGGGCCGGCGGCGAGGGGUGGGGGGGCGCACAGGCCGGCGGGGCCGCGGCGCCCCCGCGCCCCCCGCGUUUGCGGAGCCGGCGUGGGCAGGCUGUGCGCGCAGCCCGCGGCCGGGACCCGGGAGCCGCCGCCGCCGCCGCCGCCGCCGUGUCCCCAGGCCCUGCGCCCGGCCGGGCUCGGGCGGACACUGGCGCGGCCGCGGGUGUGAGUGUGCGCCGGGAGGGCGGCGCGACCCGGCGGAGGCCCACAAAGGCCCGGGAGGAGGGGCUGGGGGAGGGGGUCUCGCCCCGCGACCCUAAUGAAAUGCAGGCUCGGUUCGCCACGCAGACAAGGCGCACACUUGGAAAAAUGCAAACGCCAUUGGCAAAUGCAGGGCAAACAGGCAGAAUUUUUAUUAGCAACUAA
This 1125-nucleotide long non-coding RNA is filed under the name Canis lupus familiaris (dog). RNAcentral's name for it is "lncRNA (ENSCAFG00040015871.1)". Lineage: Eukaryota; Metazoa; Chordata; Mammalia; Carnivora; Canidae. The record is from RNAcentral.